This is a long non-coding RNA of Cavia porcellus (domestic guinea pig), 2878 nucleotides long. RefSeq lists it as uncharacterized. Lineage: Eukaryota; Metazoa; Chordata; Mammalia; Rodentia; Caviidae. The transcript is spliced from 2 exons. The record is from RefSeq and is a predicted model, not a curated record.
CUUCCCCAGCCCGCGGCCGCCUCCCGGUGUCCCCCGCCUUCUCGAGCGCGGCCGGCCGGGCCGCGCAGCUGUUUCGCCACAGUUUGCGGGGUGCAUUCCUCCCCACGCCCUGGGCGUCAUGGAAACCGCCAGGUUAACUGCGGGCCCGGCACCGACCUUUAGGUUCAUCGGCUCCCCGCGAAGAGCGAUCCCCUGCGCCCCUGCGAGGUGCGGGACCUGGGCACGGCAGCUGCCCCAGGAGCGCGUGCGGGGACCCGGGUCCCCGCAGAGAUCUGGAGAAUCCGAGGCGGUUCCGAUUCUGCUCGGGCUCCCAACCUGGCUGAGUUCUCAGUGUAAAGAGGUUUAUGGGUUUCUCUUCUGGUUGCGCCCCUGAGUUAAAUGGAAAUGUGGAACACUCGCUCAUCUGGCCGCUGUCCCCGCGGACCUGGGCUUAUCUUGGAGAAUUCCAAGUGGCGCUGCAAUUUCUUGAUGGGUUCAUUUGGCUUCCAGGUUGGGACUCGAGGGCGGUGAGGUGAGGAGAGAACCUAAGAAGCGGCCGGUGCAGUGUGUCUGUCGCGAGGGUCUGGCUCUGUGCCUGUUCUGGGAAGAGGUCUUUGCACCCUCGUAGAGCCAGGCUGCCAUCUGCCGCUGUCAGCACAUGCAGACGGUGCACCUUCAACUGUCCCGGCGUGAAAGCCAGGCCUCCGGAGCAGGGGUGGCGGUUUGCUCUCAUCCCUUUCAGCCCUGGCCAGGAAUGGUCCCUUGGGUCCAAACUCCAGGGAUCGAACUCACGACCGCCUGCUUGCAAGGAAGGUGCUUAUGCCGCUGAGCUAAAUCCUCAGCCCGACUUGAACUUAAUUGCACAUCACCACCGGAGAGGAGAUCCAACAGGCUUUCAGAGGAGGGAAAAACUCAAUUCAUAAAAAGUUUUUUGAAAACAAAGGUACAAAUAUAAUCAGAGUUCUCAAACCUGGAAUCUGAAAGUCCGUGGAACAAUACCUUCUGAAGGAAAAGUAUUUCCUGCCUAGAAUUCUAUACCUAAACUAUCAAGAAGUAUAAGGGAAGGGCCCAUUUUCAGACAUGCGGAGUUAAAAAAAAAAGGCACCUCCUGACCAUCCCUUUUAGGAAGCUGCUAAAGGGUAUGCUCCAGCAGAGCGAGGGAAGAAACCUAGAAAGAGUAAGAUGCAAGACAGAGUAAAUAGGGACUCCAGUACAAAAGCUGUGCCAGUGGGAAACACCAUACCAGACGGAAGUCCCAGCAGCCAGGGAACAAUGUGGCAGGCACGGGAAGCGAUGUGUGCAGACUGAAGCUGGUCAGAAGACUUCAGGGAAGAUCUAUUCCAUAGGACAGAACUGUGCUGAAAAUAUGAAGAGGAGGUUUACACACCCGGGGAAAAACGAAGGGUGCUAACGACAGAACUAAAUAAAUAGGAAGCAUUAGAAAGGUGUGACAUAGGCACAAUCAUAGUAAUGCAGACUCCAAAGGUUUGUAUCAUAAAGUCAUUAUUUUGGUUGAUACAGCUUUAUUGGGAGGAUGGGGGGAAUGGAAAGUGGGCACAUGUGGAUAGCUGAGAUGUGGGUGGGGCAAAGGGAGUUGACCCAUGGUCUGCCAUGUUGAAAAGACUAUGGCUUGUAAAUGCCUGACAUGGAGAAAAUUAGAAGUAUCAAUAAUACUCAUGUCGGGGGCUGGGGAUUUAGCUCAGUGGCAUAAGCGCCUGCCUUGCAAGCAGGCAGUCAUGAGUUCGAUCCCUGGUACUGAUAAAAAGGAAAAAGACAAAAAAAAAAAAACCAAUACUCAUACUAUUCUACACAAUACUCAUGCUAUUCAGACAUUAGAAGUAAAUGUCAAAAGAAUCAUUUGAUGCAAGUUGAAAAUCAGUGUGGGGUGGAGGUCAGUCAGGAAAGGGAGAUAGGCAACUGAUAUUUGUGACACAGCUAUUUGCUCCUUUCAACUGGAUUAACUUAGUUAUCAUUAUUUAAAAUUUAAGUCAAGUGUAAUGGAGAGGAAGUUGCCGAGGCUGAUGGGUGAUGUUGAGGGACAUGGUCAUCUCCAUUCUGGAUUUGAUAAUGCUGGUUCUGAGAUGGGUACUCACGACCUCCAUUCCGGGAAUUCAGAGGCCAUCUCCCUUCAGGUGAAAUGUGGCCUCCAACCUCAUACAGGGGCACUGCCUCAGAAAACUGGGAUGUGUGGUUGCCCUAGGUUUUGCUUUUGUUUUUACCUUUCCGUGACUUUUUUUUUAAUUUUGCUCCUAAUAUCUUUAACACUUGUGGAUCCCACAGUGUCUUACCCUUUCCGCUUAUAAGUCAAUAUCUGUGCCAUCACCCAAAGUAUCAUGAAAAGGUGGUCUCCUCUGGAAUCUGUGAACAAAUCCCGUGCCAGCUCCCAGUCAUUGAAACUUGAAGACUGGGAACUUCCUGGAGCCCUCCCUGUGCUUGGUUCAGACUCCUGUGGCUUCUCACUUGGUCCCACACGGCCACUACCUCAUCCUUCUUCUUCCUUCUGAAUCACUGCCAAGUGCUGCUUCAUGGGACUUUCUGGAUUUACCCAGGUCACUCCCCUGACUCAAGUCCUCCAGGGGCUGCCUCUGGCCUCAGAGGGCUCCCACUCCUCAGUUUAACACACAGGGCCUUUAUGACACUGCUCUGGCCACAUCUCCCAGAACCACCUUCUCCCUCUUUUUGCUCCUGACUGAGUCACCCGCAGCCCCCAGCAGCAUUAUGAACCCAUCAUGCCAUGCAGGUGCAAUACCUCACAAUGCAGGGCAGAUAUCACCUCCUCCAGGAAGCUUGCUGCAGCCCCAAGUGUGGACCACAGGCCUUUUCCUCACCGGGAAGUGCAUUUGGAUGGCAGUUUUGGUUACACUCUAACAUCAUUAUUUAUUAUAUUAUUCAAGUCAUC